UUUCCGUAGGUGAACCUGCGGAAGGAUCAUUACAUUCAGUAGCUUGCUACUGUUAGGGGGGUCCAUUAGUCUGUAUAUUAUCACUACUGAUGAGCAGCACGACUUCCUGUCUAUACCCUUGUCUUUUGCGCACUCAUGUUUCCUCGGCGGGCUUGCCUGCCGGUUGGACAUUAUCAAACCUUUUUGUAGUUGCAAUCAGCGUCAGAAACAAAACAAUAAUUACAACUUUCAACAACGGAUCUCUUGGUUCUGGCAUCGAUGAAGAACGCAGC
Molecule: unclassified non-coding RNA, 272 nt
Filed under: uncultured fungus
Lineage: Eukaryota; Fungi
Description: sequence contains ITS1, 5.8S rRNA gene
Rfam family: 5.8S ribosomal RNA (bases 224-272)
Source: RNAcentral